Long non-coding RNA from Equus quagga, 588 nucleotides. RefSeq lists it as uncharacterized. The transcript has 4 exons. The record is from RefSeq and is a predicted model, not a curated record. Lineage: Eukaryota; Metazoa; Chordata; Mammalia; Perissodactyla; Equidae.
AGGUAACAGGGAGCCAGGCCGUGCAGGGCCUCGUAGGCCACUAGAAAUUCUUUGGCUUUUGCUGUACGUGAGAUCUGAGGUCCCCGAAGGCUUGGCUUCUUAGAGGAGUGACAAGUUCUGAAUUGCGUGUUGCUAGGAGCCCUGUGGCUGCUUGGUGGUGAGGAGGCUGGAGUUGGCCUCGGGGUGAAGCAGAGAGACCAGCUAAGAGGGCGCUGCCCAGAAAUCCUGGUGACAGAUGGUGGGCCCUGUGGGUGAAGCCUGUGUGCCCUUGUUGUCCUGCAGAGGGAACAAUCAGGACGAGGAGGAGAACCAGGUGUCAGCGUGAAGAAAAUGAGAGCGCUGGGGAGAACGAAGGCAGGCUGUUUCCUUCAGGUCCACUGGGCGACGGACAGUGAUUGUGGCCUCAAGAUCCAAUCACUCAGAGAGAGGUGCGAGGGAACUCAGCUCCCGGCUUUUUCAGUUGUGCCCUCUUCCUGAAUCCAUCUGUGGUGUCAACCAGUCAUGGAUGCAGGAGACUCUGAACUUAAGCCCAGCAGCACCACACCAAGCAUCAGGAAGAAGACAGAUGAAUACCUAAAACCCACCGUG